GUACGUCUGCUGUAUUUCUGGGGGACUAGAGCAGAGUGCAAGCCAUCCGUCUUGGUGCAGGCUGGGCCACGAGUUCCUCCCGGGUCUCGUGUCUCAGAGGCCCUUAGGCCUCUCUGCACAACCUGCUGCUGUUCAUCCAGGCAGCGAGAGAGUGCUCAGUGCGUUCCUGCUGCCUCUGAGGGCAGCUGGGAUUGGCUUGCCUCUGCCUGGGCUGCCUUCUGCGGCAAAGACAGAAGCAGGGAUUGCUUCUGCUUGAGCAGAAGGCUGGCACUUAGCGAGUGGCUAGGCUCCAGGGAGCUCUCAAGCUGCCGACUGGCAGAGGGGUGGUGGCAUUUUGGAUGGUCUGGGAAGCGGCGUCUCUGCUUGCGAGUGAGUGCCUUGCACUGCUUCUGUCUUUCAGGGAGCGUUGUGAGCCCGGGUGAGCCAGGGAGGAAAUACACAGCCCUUGAAGAACUUGGACGAGGGGGCUUUGGAGCUGUUUAUAGAGCCCUGGAUGCCAGCACAGGGAAACAGGUAAAGAUUCAGCAGCCCCCGCGGGUUUUGCAGCUCCGGAGCGCUUCCCCUGCUGCUGGAGACCGUGGCUGGAGCUUUGGCCGGCCGCUCCAUCUCUGCAGCAGAGGCUGCUCGUCUGCAGCACAGACUGGGCUCAGCGUGCAGAAUGCAUUUGGGACAGGCUUUGGUGCUUCUCUGAAGCUUUGCUGUCUAGUAACAAGGCAGUUUGGCAGAGCUCAGCUGCGUGGUCGCACAAGCACUGGCUCCGUGUUCCUUGUGAUCUGCUGCAAGGAGCGACUUGUCAAGUGAACAGUCUUCUAUGUCCUUUUAGGUGGCCAUCAAGAAAAUGACGCUGCAAGAGGAGGAUUCCGAGGAGCUGGCUGUCAAUGAAAUCCUGGCCAUGAGGGACAACAGGAAUCCCAAUAUUGUUACCUACUUAGACAGGUUGGGGCGUUGGCAUGUCAGCGUUCCUUCAGAUAGUGCAAGGCAGAAAUGACCAACCCCUUUGGUCAGCGGCAGAAAGCGGAGCUGCUUGUGCUUUCUCUACUUGUGUCCAGCACAGGGGAGGAGGUUUCACUUGGUGUGCAAGAAUCUCUUCCGGCAUAUGUAGCUUGGAGAGCAGUGGCAAAAGCCUGGCUCAGGCCCUCGGGUGACUGAGCUGUACCCGUUGCUGUCUCUCCAUGCCGUACUUUUUCUUCUUGCAGCUACCUGGUCGACGAGGAUCUCUGGCUGGUGAUGGAAUUCAUGGACAGAGGCACGCUGUUCGAUGUACUCAGGGCAGCGUACCUGGAGGAAGAACAGAUAGGCUGUCGGGAGGUGAGGGAUGGCGCCUGUGCCGGCCCUGGCCUGCACAGGAUGGUCCUUGCCAGCGGGUGGGGAAGAAGAGCAGAGGUUUCUUGCUCACUCCUUUGUUUUGGUGCUGCUGUCACGGCACCAGGAGAAGAGUGAGCAUCUGAAGGGAACUGCCUGCCGUUGUCCCCGCACUUGCCCAGGCUCUCGUACUCCUACAUGGCGUCUGUCCUCUGACGCUCGCGCUUGCUCCCUCGCUUGCUUUCACUUGUUUCCUCUUGGAACCUCUGCCUCUCCGUGUUUGCCUGGAGCGUGUCUGUCUGUCCUGCACCCCUUGCUGCUCCAAGGCAGCGUGCUGCUGGCAGAAUUUCUAGCUGAAGGGAUGUGCUGAGCUUCAAAGAACAGCACUGCAGUGCAGAUGGCACUGGAUUCUGCAACAGCUCUAUCGUGCCGCUUCCUCCUCUGCUGCCACAGCUCUGCCAAUAAAAUCUUUGCCAUGCCGCUGGCCA
Cyanistes caeruleus (blue tit) is the source of this 1790-nucleotide long non-coding RNA. The record is from Ensembl. NCBI's taxonomy places the organism in Eukaryota, Metazoa, Chordata, Aves, Passeriformes, Paridae.